Serinus canaria (Common canary) is the source of this 2048-nucleotide long non-coding RNA. NCBI's taxonomy places the organism in Eukaryota, Metazoa, Chordata, Aves, Passeriformes, Fringillidae. The record is from Ensembl.
AUCCCCUCCAUCCCUCUGGUCACCUCUGCCACCACCUGCCCCUCCCAUCGUAGCCCCUCCUGCCCCCUGACCCUCUGCUGUCCCCUCUGCCACCCUCCCUGAGCCCCCAUGUCCCUGCCAUUCCCCACUGGCCCCUCCCCCCUGUUGCUCCUCCACCCCUCUGUCACCUCCCCUCUUCCUAUCACUCCCUCCUUUCGCCUUUGUGUCCCCCUGUCCCAUUCGCCACCCCGUGUCCUCUCCAUCCCCAAUUGCCCCCUCCCACUCCAGUGUCCCCUCUGUCCUCUUCCCCCCACCCCCCAUUGCACCUCUUGGAGCUCCACGCUCACUGGGGACACGUUGGGGACACCUUGGGGACACUCCUGGGGUUGAAUGAGCUUUGGGAUGUCCUCGAUGGCUCUUUGGCACCGCUCGUCCACCCCACAGGCACUGGGGCUGGCAGGACCAGCAGUGAAACAGAAGUCGAUGAUGUCUCAAACUGCUCCCUCCAGGUAAUCCUUGGCCAGGUGGGUGUUGGCCUCCCACAGCCACUUGGUCACAGCCACCUUGGCCACCAAGUCGUCUGGGACAUUGGGGAAUGCUUAUUUGUCCCCUCCAGGGCAGCCUCGAUGUCCCUGAGCAGGCGCUGCAGCUCCCGGGGGAACACGGUGGCUUUGUCACACAUGGCCACCAAGCGCUCCAGCAGCCCCAGGGCCGCCUCCGCCCGCUGUCCCCUCUUGGUGGCCACCUCUGCCCGGCUGCGGGCCACCACAGCCUCUGUCAAUGCCAUGGUGGCCGCCACUAUCUCGCUGCCAGCUGCCAUCACCCGGGCCUCGUGCACAGCACUUGCCGAGGCCUCCACCUCCAUUUCCAGGGCCAGUGGCAGCUGCCGGGCUGUGGUCACCAGGUUUCUGUGAGCUCUCCUCCAGUGGGUGGCCUUUUCCUGCAGGUCCCCAGCCUGGGCUGUGGCAGUGGCUGCUGUAGUGGCCUCAGCAGCCUCCCUGCAGGUGUCACGGAGCUCGGUGGCCUCUCUGGCCAGCCAGUCCCAGCUGUCCAUGAGCUUGGCCACUGACUUCUGCCAGGCGCUGGUCACAGCUGUCACAUCGGCCCAGGUGGUCCCAGGUAUUCUCUGAGGGUGGCCAGGGCCCGGCCCAGGGAGGGGACACCAGGGUGGCCCAAGGAGGUGACACUGCCGUGAUUCACAGUCCUAUGGAGUCUCCGGGUGAGUCUCCUCAUGUCCUCAUGCAGGGAGUUUGGGGACAUGUGCAGGCACUUGGCCCUGUGUGGCCUGGUCAUGGUGGCCACCAGCUUGCCCAGGGUGGCCACCAUGGCCACCAUCACCUCCAGCUGUGAAGGAGAUAGCUGUGGAGGGGACAGGGGAGAUGUCAGGGACCUGGUGGCACUUGCGACUUCCCAGGGUCCCCCUUGUCCCCACCCUGGAGGGCUCUGCUGUCCCUUCUGUCCCUUUGCAACCCCCUGUCUGCUCCUACCACCCCUGUGCCCCUGUGCCACCUCUCAUGUCCCAUCUGUGGGGACAGGGGGACACUGCACAUGUGGCACCAGGGACACGGCACUACCACCAGCCCAGUGGCUCCAGUUCUGUCCCAGGCAGGUGGCACUUGAAGGGCUCUUGGUGACACACGGAGCUGCUGGCACUCGAAGAGCUGGUGGCACUUAGGGAGCUUUUGGUGGCAUGAGUUGCUGGUGACACUUGAGGAACUGGUGGUGCUUGAGGAGCUCUUGGUGGCACUCGUGAAGCUGGUAGCACUCAAGUGUCCACACAUCUCUCCACAUACAUCACUGCCCUGAUGAUGUCACAGCGGUGACAUCACUGUCCCCGGAGCAGCCUUGGGAUGUCCUCGAUGGCUCUUUGGCACCGCUCGGCCACCGCACGGCUGCUGGGGCCACCGGAUCCACCAUGGUCACCACAGGGACUCAAGAGGAGGUUGUGGAUGUCCCCAAGUGUGCCCAAGAGGUGAUCCUUGGCCAGGCGGGCACUGGCCCCCCACAGCCGCUCAAACUUGGCCACUUUGGCAACCAAGGCCUGCAGGACUUCAGGGGACAUCUCAUUU